Molecule: long non-coding RNA, 1350 nt
Filed under: Homo sapiens (human)
Lineage: Eukaryota; Metazoa; Chordata; Mammalia; Primates; Hominidae
Description: HSALNT0034235
Source: RNAcentral
UGUGAUCCUCUCGCCUUGGCCUCCCCAAAGUGUUGGGACUACAGGUGUGAACCACUGUGCCCUGUCUUAUUGAGGGAGUUUAAAGCCUGGUGCUUGAAUGCUGUCAAUAACUGAGGUUAACAAUUUCUCUUGAAGACUUCUGCUUCUGGCCAAAGUGGAGUAAUAGGUUCAGAUUUGCCCUCUUGCCUGAAACAAUAACAACAACAACAACAAACACAAUAAAGAUAUAUGAAGGAAUGGUUUUCAAGACAUGGACAUCAGGUGACAAAUGACAGUGAUUCCUGGGAGUUGAGGAGAGUUUUACAAUUGCUCCAGCUUACAGCCCUGAAGAAGUUCCUAGGGCACAGUUCAGGAAGGUGGAACCCAGAUGGAGCCUGGAAAAUGCUCUGAGUUGAGGAAACAGAGAUAAGAGUAUGGGGAGACCAAAGCAACUAGAGUUUGCAGGAUAGAUGAUGGAGAGGAGAGAGGUGCACAGAGAGAGCCCAGGAGAUCCUCAGGGGUCUCCUCAAGAUCGGUUCAACUAAGUACCAAUCAGCACAUGUGUGUGAGGAAACCAUCUGCGAGGAUUAGAAGCAGCGCUGCUCAGUGCUCACUCAGGGCUGAGAACAGUGCCAGUUCCCACCUGCCAGAUUGGAAAGUCCCAUGAUUCCUGGGGCACUCAGUAGUUUGUACAGAAGGUCCUUGCCUCAGAAGUGGGCAAUAAAUAACCCUAGACUGAGCACUUCUCAGCACCCUUGAAAAAAAAAAUCAUAAAAUCAAAACCUGAGGAUCCAACUGUUUCCAAGUAGUUUAACUUAUCCCAGAGCAAAGUUCAAAAAUAUAUAUAGGAAUCCAAAAAUAUUUAACACCCAGCAAAGUACAUUUACAAUGUCUAGUAUCUAAGCAAAAAUUACCAGGUAUGAGAAGAAGUAGAAAAAUAUGACCCAUAUUAAAAAGGAGCCUAGGCUUUUCCCCUCACUCAGCUGUGAUGAGGCACCCCAACCCUUCCUUGCUGGGGUGAUGUGCCCUGUAAUGACCUUCUCCUCAGUGAUUAUGUCAGUGAAGGCCAUGUGGGGACCUGGAACUCUCACCCUCACCAGCUGUAAUGAGACACUCUACCCCAGUGGAGUGUCCACAGAGGCCAAGUGAGGACUGUGGACUUACACAACCACCUGGCAAUUAUGAAGCAGCAGUCCCCUUUCCUGACUGGCACAGUGUCAGACAGGGCCUGCUAAAACAGAAAAUUUAAAUAAGAUAUAAUGUCUUAUAUAAUUCCCCCAAAGCCCAGGAAUUAAUAGAAAAUCACUCAUCAUGUCAAGAACCAGGAAAAUCUCAACUUGAAUGAGAAAAGACAACAAAUGCCAAUGUUGA